GACAGUUUCCGUAAGUAAUUUUUCUUGACCAGCUAAGCAACCAAAUUCACACCAAAACUGUCGCAUACUUUAAACUCACAAAACAAUAUUAACCAUCCCCAAAGCCUCCAACAAAACAUACCCCACUGCUGUUCUACCUCAAUAUUAUUUCCAAAUUUCUCAACCAAGAUCUCUGUUUCAGUAUCACUUUCUUCCACUAUGAUUCCCCCCCUUUCAAUUCUCUCAUCAUCUAUUCAUCUCAGUUAACUACAUAAUAGCAGCAGACUGCCAAAGUUUGGUCUACUAUAGCUACCCAAUAAAUAUUACAAUCAUAUUUAAAAUACAUUAGCCACCCCCCUUUUUUCUUCUUCUUUCUCUCCUAUGUGAUGCAUGUUAUAUAGUUUUAUGUGUGUCGCAUUCUGCAGUCAAUUUCUAAUUCUUUACCCUCGUCUGUGAUCUAGCAGCUGCUUACCUAGCCUU
RNAcentral lists this long non-coding RNA (459 nucleotides) under Gossypium barbadense (sea-island cotton). Its description in RNAcentral is "long non-coding RNA (GBAR_LNC017375)". The record is from RNAcentral. Lineage: Eukaryota; Viridiplantae; Streptophyta; Magnoliopsida; Malvales; Malvaceae.